GAUGAACGCUGGCGGCGUGCCUAAUACAUGCAAGUCGAGCGAACAGACGAGGAGCUUGCUCCUCUGACGUUAGCGGCGGACGGGUGAGUAACACGUGUAUAACCUACCUAUAAGACUGGGAUAACUUCGGGAAACCGGAGCUAAUACCGUAUAAUAUAUUGAACCGCAUGGUUCAAUAGUGAAAGUCGGUUUUUCUGUCUCUUAUAGCUGGAUCCGCGCCGCAUUAGCUAGUUGGUAAGGUAACGGCUUAACACGGCAACGAGGCGUAGCCGACCGGGAGGGGGGGUAGGGCACCCGAGAAGGUGGAAACGGAACAAGCGACUGAGGGAAGGAAGAGUAGGGAAUCGUAAGCAAAGGGGGGGAGGCUUAAAGAAGAAAGGCGGGGUGGAGAUGGAAAGCCUACGGUCGGAAAAACGUGUUUUUAGGGAAGAACAAAUGUGUAAGUAAAUAUGCACGUCUUGACGGUACCUAAUCAGAAAGCCACGGCUAACUACGUG
RNAcentral lists this ribosomal RNA (497 nucleotides) under uncultured bacterium. Its description in RNAcentral is "partial 16S ribosomal RNA". It matches the Rfam family "Bacterial small subunit ribosomal RNA", at positions 28 to 507 of the family's 1533-position model. The record is from RNAcentral.